This 398-nucleotide RNase P RNA is filed under the name Rhizobium leguminosarum. RNAcentral's name for it is "RNase P class A". It matches the Rfam family "Bacterial RNase P class A". From Rfam's summary of the family: Ribonuclease P (RNase P) is a ubiquitous endoribonuclease, found in archaea, bacteria and eukarya as well as chloroplasts and mitochondria. Its best characterised activity is the generation of mature 5'-ends of tRNAs by cleaving the 5'-leader elements of precursor-tRNAs. The record is from RNAcentral. Lineage: Bacteria; Pseudomonadati; Pseudomonadota; Alphaproteobacteria; Hyphomicrobiales; Rhizobiaceae.
CCAGUUGGCUGGGCAGCCGCGCUUUAUCAAUGCCGAAAGGCGGUAGGGUGAGGAAAGUCCGGGCUCCACGGAAACACGGUGCCGGAUAACGUCCGGCGAGGGCGACCUCAGGGAAAGUGCCACAGAAAGCAAACCGCCUGUCAUGACAGGUAAGGGUGAAAGGGUGGGGUAAGAGCCCACCGCAUCUCCGGCAACGGAAAUGGCACGGUAAACCCCACCGGGAGCAAGACCGAAUAGGGAUGACGUGGCAGGCCGAAAGGCCUUCCGGCCGGUUUCCAGGCCAGUCAUCCGGGUGGGUUGCGCGAGGCAGCGUGCGAACGCUGUCCCAGAGGAAUGGCUGCCACGUUCCGGUUCACGCCGGAGCCAUACAGAACCCGGCUUACAGGCCAACUGGCGAU